This is a long non-coding RNA of Harpia harpyja (harpy eagle), 761 nucleotides long. RefSeq lists it as uncharacterized. The record is from RefSeq and is a predicted model, not a curated record. The transcript has 3 exons. NCBI's taxonomy places the organism in Eukaryota, Metazoa, Chordata, Aves, Accipitriformes, Accipitridae.
CUGGACUACAGACGGGCUCUUUGGAAAGCCCUACAACCUGUCUGUUACCUGCGUCCCCGCCAGCGCAUCGGCGCUCCGCAGCUCCUGGAUGCAGCUCUGCAGCAGCUCCGAUGCCCGCCGGAGGCUGGCUGUGAAGGGAUGCAAUUUCUGCGGGUGGGACACACAGCAGGGAUGCCUGUGAGACACGAAGCAGCGGUGGGGACGGAGGGGCACCGCGGGGAGGUGAGGCGAUGGCUAACGGCGUGAUAACAGACACCUGGAAGAACUGAACCCACUCGCCGUGGCAGUACGGGAAGGUGCCAUCCAGCUCCUGUGUCAGCUGGGAGCUGUCGACGUAGCGGCCCAGAGCCUUCAGCGACGCCAGGGUCUCCACCUGCGGGGCACAUGGAGCUUGUGAGCACUGCAGGACCAUGCCAGGUCCCUCCCCAGGGACAGCCUGGAGCAGGGGGCACAACCCAGUCCUACCCCAAGCACCCUGCCCAGUUAACCCGCGCCGUGCAGCGGCCCCGGGAGCGCAGCGUGCCAGUGCCGGCAGGGCUGAGCGCAGCGUGCGGCAGCUCCGCUCGGAGCAGCUCCUGCCGGCUCCGCGGUGUUUGAAUGCAUGGGAGAUCGCCGGGACUGCAAUAAUCUGCCAUGACAGCCAAGCUAGGAGACAAUGUGGGGACAGGAGGAGGGGACGGGGACAGGGACAAGGACAGGCUCACCUGCACCCCGGGCAGCCUCUCGCGGUGGGUGACCAGCUCCUUCUCGGCCAGCAGCAG